GCCGAGGUGGCAGAGCGGUAAUGCACUCGUCUCGAAAACGAGCGCCCGAAAGGGCUUCCAGGUUCGAAUCCUGGCCUCGGCG
RNAcentral lists this transfer RNA (82 nucleotides) under Candidatus Aenigmatarchaeota archaeon. RNAcentral's name for it is "tRNA-Ser". It matches the Rfam family "tRNA". From Rfam's summary of the family: Transfer RNA (tRNA) molecules are approximately 80 nucleotides in length. Their secondary structure includes four short double-helical elements and three loops (D, anti-codon, and T loops). Further hydrogen bonds mediate the characteristic L-shaped molecular structure. tRNAs have two regions of fundamental functional importance: the anti-codon, which is responsible for specific mRNA codon recognition, and the 3' end, to which the tRNAs corresponding amino acid is attached (by aminoacyl-tRNA synthetases). tRNAs cope with the degeneracy of the genetic code in two manners: having more than one tRNA (with a specific anti-codon) for a particular amino acid; and 'wobble' base-pairing, i.e. permitting non-standard base-pairing at the 3rd anti-codon position. The record is from RNAcentral. Lineage: Archaea; Nanobdellati; Candidatus Aenigmatarchaeota.